UAUGAAACCCACCAGAUCAGGUAUUUUAUCAUAUGGAACAUUAAUUGUAGAAUGCUGACACUUUUUUAAACAUUUAGUGUGUUUUUUCAGACCCAGAUACUAUAUUGAUAGUGUUUUUUAGUCAAGGAAUUAGGUUUAGGCUAAACCGGCUCCUAGAAUUUUGGGCAAAUUUGAUUUAUUCAAAGGCAUGCGUUGCACAUGCAUCUCGAGGUAGAAUACUUUCCUAAUAUAUUUUCUCUCAAAAGAUGCAUUCAAGAUGAAAGUUGUGCCACCAAUGAAAAAUGAAGAAAGGAUGAAUGCUGCCUUUAAGAGCCUACGUAUUCAAGCAGAAACUGACCGCCAUGAGAUGCUGAAAGAGCAACAUCAGGAAGCCCUACAAAGUUCCAAACAAGAACAAGAAUCCCUGUUAGAGUCUGCAAAGUGCCGAACAGCUCAAUAAAGACUUUGAAGAGAGAUUAAAGAAAAGAAAGACAGCCAGCUACAACUCCUUGAAGAUGAACUGAAUAAAGUCUGCUGAAAACAAUUUACUGGAAAAGGCUCUUGAAAAGGCUGAGACGAUGCAAAACUAUUUGAAGGAAAAAGCCAAUAUGACUGAGAGGAAAAUACAAGAGAUUGAGGGGCAGUUAUCUGCUGCAAUGAGAAGAGAUGAAAAAUCCAUCAAGGAAAAAGAUAAUCUAAAGACAGACAUUGUACAACAUGAGGUGAAGUAUGAAGAGCUAUCAGCAAGUUUCAAUCAGCUGCAACUUGAGAACAAGACUAUGCUGGAGAAGAUGCAGAAUGAAUCCUCAGAGGAGAGGGAGGCAAAAGAUGAAGAUGAAGGAAAUUGAAAGACUCCAGGAGGAAAACCAUCAAUUAUGAGAGGAUUUGAAAUCCUAAAAUGACAAAGUUGAAGAGCAAGGUGAAGACACUGAGAAUCUGCAGAAGAAACUUGGAAAAAGUGUACAGGAGCUACAGCUUCGAGCUACAGAGGCCGUCAAGAGUAAGGAAGAUGCUGAAGUCAAAUGUCAGAACAAGACGCAGACAUGGUUGCCGUGACAGAAAGCACAAGGUUAAGUUCUCUGUUGGUAUCAGAACCACUAUGACAAAAUGGUUGAUGAGAAAGAUGCAGAGCUUGAUGAGAAGAAGAGGAAAGACAUGGAGGCAGCUGUUAAUAGAACAUCACUGAACAUGGAGAAUGGCCAUUUGAAGGAACAACUGGAGAAAGAAAUGAAGGAGAGGGAAAGCUGACUACAGGAGAUUACAGGCCUGGAAAAAGAGACGGCGUGUCAGAAAAUGAGCAGGCAACUGGAGACACAGGAUAAACAGGUGUUCUGAAACACUCAGCCACGAUGCCUGAGGACAGUCACACAAAGCCUCUGUAACCCAAUCCCAAAGCUCAGACAAAAGAGAUGCUGUGACUCCAAACAUUAAUGAAAUGGAAAGCGAAGCCCCAAGAACGCAAUCUUGGAGCUUUAUGACUACAGUUAGAGCAACAUCGCAAAUGAAGGAAAGCAAAGCUCUCAAAACUCCAUCUUGGCGUUCCCCCAGUACAGCUGGUGCAACACCACGGAUUAAGAUCCAGAGCCCUGUUGUUCAGAAAUCACUUGGGAGUGCUUUAAAGCUCGCUGCAAUGAAAAGGAUGCAGGAUGCUGGUUGGACAGCUGUCGCUGGUGCUGACAAGGAGAAGAAAAACAUCAAGUGCUUUUCAAAAUUGAUCGUUUUUUGUGUGUGUGACAAAUGUGGACAUUCAAUAUGCUCUUUUCAUUACACCACUGCUCUCAAGUUCAUCCAUGUCUAUAGUUGUCUGAUGCUGGGAAAUCUGUUGACCGAAAUAGACAUUUAAAAUGCAAGUCAAAACAAUUUGAAAUGACCCAGGUAUAUUAUCUUGUUUUGAUGUUACUGUUUAGCCACAUUACUCACUUUAUUAAUGGAAAAAAUGGAAAAUGCUUGUUUUGAACAGACUUGCCACCUUUGACUCCAUUCAACAUAAAUAAGUUCAAGUGUUUGUUCAUAACAUUGUUGUUUUUGCUUGUGCUGUUUUUAUGUUCCUACAUAUGACAUUUGUCAACAUUGUGUUAUUUACAGUGGUGUAAAGUACUUAAGUAAAAAUACGUUAAAGUACUACUAAAGUAGUUUUUUGGUAUCUGUACUUUACUUCACUAUUUAUAUUUUUGACAACUUUUACUCCACUACAUUCCUAAAGAAAACUAUGGACUUUUUACUGCAUACAUUUCGAAUGCUUAGCAGGACAUGAAAAUGGUGCAGUUCACGCACUUAUCAAGAGGUCAUCCCUACUG
Molecule: long non-coding RNA, 2276 nt
Filed under: Salmo salar (Atlantic salmon)
Lineage: Eukaryota; Metazoa; Chordata; Actinopteri; Salmoniformes; Salmonidae
Description: lncRNA (ENSSSAG00000114086.1)
Source: RNAcentral